GCGUUCUCUCCUCUCCUAGCGGUGCUUCCUCAUUCUUUCCUGUCGUCUUCUUCAAGCCACUGUCUUCGUUGUGCACUUCCUCAGUGUCGUCCUAUGUCACCUCCGUGGGUCUUCUAAUUUUGUCACUCCUCUUGUACUAGCUGUCCACUACUAAGAGCUAAUGUAGCUAUUCACAUGUUUACGGGAAGCCUAAACACGUAUUCCCUCCGAAAACUAUGUUCUUUGCUUCUAUUCUUCCUUUAUAUAUGUUGUCACAUUUUCAUACUUGCACUUUCGGGCCAAAUUCGAACCACCGCCUUUGUGGAAAUUCUUCUUCCACGAUGUAGUCUCAAAGACUCUGUUCGAUUGCUUGGGUAUUAGAGUAUGCUGGUAAAUCUCACACCCAAUGAGAUCUCGACAAUUGUCACCGAUAACUCUUCCACUCUACACGCUAUGCUCAUGAUACAACUCAACGACCGAGUUAGAACCGGCAAGGGAAGUCAGUAUUUUGUUUAUGCAUUUGAAAUAGCGGCAGGAAAGAAAUUUGAUUCGCUCCCCAAGGUAUAUGUUGUUACUGUAGCAGCCGAGAUGUUCCUGUUGCUGAAGUGUCAGAAAAGCGCUAUAAUAUAGAGCAUUUGAGUAGCCCCGAACUGGUGGCAUUCGAGUAUGAGGACUUGGGUCAUGUGAGAAUCAAGCAACAUGUCAAUCCCCUUUGUUCCUCUUUCUCCGUACCCACACAAGAUCCAAACUAGAACCAAGUCUUUAGGGAUCUAACAUUACUACUCAUGGUCGACAUCAGAUGUGGUAACUUGUUUGCUUCUGUGGUAAAAUCUGCUUGCAACAUCUAUCCUUGUUAAUUAUUAGUAAUUAGAAGUGGUGCUUUGUAUGGAUGUUGUGGACUGAGGUCUGUGCCAUCUAUGCUGAUAUGAUAGAUAGUAAAGUAGAUGUUUGCCCUCUUCUGAAGGUAACAUUGUUAUUUGCUUUCUAUGUCAUGCACUUAAUUGUGUCAAUGGGUUCUACUUUUAACAUUGAUAUUCAUAUGAUGGUAUGAGUGCUAAUUAUUCAUAGUGGAACUUUGAAUCAUGUAAAUUGCAUGGUGUUGGUAUGGUGAAAUUUCUCUCUUCAGUUGGCCCAACUCAAUUCUACACUACAAAUCAGACAUACUUCAUAUACAUUUGCAUACACAAACUGUAGACUUAUUCCUUUUAAAUAUGCCAGAUACACCUUAGGAGAGAUGAUCAUAACUAAGAAAAAAUGCAUUUAUCUGAAAUUACAUGCUAAUGAUGCUAUCCAAUGAACAUUUAUUCUAUGCAUGAUUUACCCUGUGCAAUAUAUUACUGUAACAUCAACAUCUUGUUCACUCUUUCCCUUAAUUUCUUCCCUUUUUUAUAGUAGUAUAGGUAGAUCAGAAAGUUGAAAGUUUAUUUGGUCUUUUUAUCCUUAUUACAUUACUUUUCUAUUUAUACUCUCUAAAGUCUGAAUUAUAGUCUAAAAUACAAUUUACUAGAUAUAAUCAAAGUUAGUUGUUCCUUUUGAUAUUUUAAAGUUUAAACUCUCUGAACUAUAGCUAUAACCUUGUUUUUUAAGGCAUUCUUUCCAUUUAUGGACACUGAAAGUUGUUUCUCAUAGAACUAUCUGGUGCUACAAGUGUAGACAUUCCUUCAACUUUCUGUUAUUAUGAUUUAAAAUUUCGAUGCCGUAGCUUCAAGGGUCUUUAGCUGGUGGUGCUUCAAGGCUACAAGGUUGUUGACGUACAAAUGGCUAAGGUACUUCUAUGUUUACUCAAUUUUAAACAUCGACAUGAAGUAAAGAAGAGCUGUAUAUCUAAUAUUGCUUCAGAAUUUCCAGAGGCGUGUAAAUUUUAUCCAGCUGAUACAAAGGAUGAGCUUCACAAGUUCUGAUGGAUCUUCAAAGGGUAGAAGCUUAAGGUUCGUCACGGCUUAGAAGUUUUGAACUGAUUCUGAUUGAUCUCUGAUAUCUGAACUAACAAAGAAAAAGUGGCCAUAUAAUUUAUUUGAGAAAAGAAAAAAGUCAUCGAGAGUAAUAAAUUUAAGUGAGAUAGUUAAUUAUAUAUGUAUCUAGGUUGGCGUUUUGUAUAUUGAUAUUAAUAUUAAAACCAAUAAUUCAGGUCAAACUCGACAGGUCAACUUGAAUAAACCUAAAAAAAAUUGGGACAAGCUUGAUAGGGUUCAAACUUAGUCCAAAUCC
Molecule: long non-coding RNA, 2187 nt
Organism: Prosopis cineraria
Lineage: Eukaryota; Viridiplantae; Streptophyta; Magnoliopsida; Fabales; Fabaceae
Exons: 4
Source: RefSeq, a predicted model, not a curated record